RNAcentral lists this ribosomal RNA (464 nucleotides) under Vreelandella stevensii. Its description in RNAcentral is "partial 16S ribosomal RNA". It matches the Rfam family "Bacterial small subunit ribosomal RNA", at positions 338 to 795 of the family's 1533-position model. Lineage: Bacteria; Pseudomonadati; Pseudomonadota; Gammaproteobacteria; Oceanospirillales; Halomonadaceae. The record is from RNAcentral.
CCUACGGGUGGCAGCAGUGGGGAAUAUUGGACAAUGGGCGAAAGCCUGAUCCAGCCAUGCCGCGUGUGUGAAGAAGGCCUUCGGGUUGUAAAGCACUUUCAGUGGGGAAGAAAGCCUUGGGGCUAAUACCCUCGAGGAAGGACAUCACCCACAGAAGAAGCACCGGCUAACUCCGUGCCAGCAGCCGCGGUAAUACGGAGGGUGCGAGCGUUAAUCGGAAUUACUGGGCGUAAAGCGCGCGUAGGCGGUCUGAUAAGCCGGUUGUGAAAGCCCCGGGCUCAACCUGGGAACGGCAUCCGGAACUGUCAGGCUAGAGUGCAGGAGAGGAAGGUAGAAUUCCCGGUGUAGCGGUGAAAUGCGUAGAGAUCGGGAGGAAUACCAGUGGCGAAGGCGGCCUUCUGGACUGACACUGACGCUGAGGUGCGAAAGCGUGGGUAGCAAACAGGAUUAGAACCCCGGUAGUC